This 254-nucleotide ribosomal RNA is filed under the name Pireneitega luctuosa. RNAcentral's name for it is "partial 12S ribosomal RNA". The record is from RNAcentral. Lineage: Eukaryota; Metazoa; Arthropoda; Arachnida; Araneae; Agelenidae.
AUCGAUAAUCCACGUUANCUCUUACUUCAAUUUAAAAUUUAUAUACCGCCAUCUUAAGAAUUAAUUAAAAAUCUUUCUCUCAAUAAUUAAUAAAAAGUUAGGUCAAGGUGUAAUCUAUAUUAAAGAUUAGAUGAAUUACAUUAAAAAAUAUUUAAAGCUUAUCUUUACAUUUACAGAUAUAAAUAAGAAUUUAAAAGUAAUAUAUACAACAAUAAUUAUAUAUGAUAAAGAUAAUAAAUGUGCACACAUCGCCC